UCCAUUCACGUGAGGAGGAGAGGAGAUCCAAAAAGAAAACUUUGAGAUUCCUAUAUAAAAACCAACUUCACUGUAUAAAAGGGGACGCUCACAUUUUCUAUUGGGACCUCCACUUAGAAAUUGGUCCAUCCUCUUCCAACAGCUGUAAACCCACUCAUACCAACCUAGAACCUCACAUCACUCACCUCUCUUCUCUCUCACCUCUCUCGAAAAGAAAACAGAGAAGAAGAAAAAGCUUUUCAGCUUUUCCUCUUCACCACUCUUCACUCAAUAAAUCACCCUCAUCACCGGAAUCAUCACGGCCACCACCACCUUACUUUUUUUAUUUUUCCUUACCAAAUCACGAAAAAUCCAUCACCAACACCGCAACCCACCGAUCUAUCCAAUGUUUCUCCGUUUAACAAACAGACUCCCCGCCGAACCUCCGCGCAAACGGCCUUCCCACAACCUCGCCUUCGCUCACCCUUGACGAGACAGGGAGCCAUGAUUGAUAACUUAUCACUAGCAUCCUUCGGUUGGCAAUUCAGAUAGAAAGGAUAGGCAUAUAAUUUGUUGAUGUCAUUCUUAAGAAGCAAGGGCAUCAACUGACUCGCUACCAACCUUUUUCUCGCAAAGUUUAAGGGGCGGAAAUCGAAACGAGGAUAUGCAAGUUUGGACCAAAGUUAUGGAUUGGCUUGGGAACCCACCGCCUGCUUCGACAGUCAAAAGCCAACAAGCAACGACCUCGUGUCGAUGUUCCAUUUCAGCGACACAAAUUCAACAACGUUUACGGUAACGAUGUUUGAAUUCCAUGACUGAGUUAUUAAGAUCGUUUGUUAAAUGUAUGAUUUUAUGUGAAUUUGGCCUCAGGACAUUGUUGUUGUUUCAUGUUGUGACCAUUGAUGCCGUUAUAAAUUCGUAAAUAUUAUGCUCUUGGAA
Long non-coding RNA from Lathyrus oleraceus (garden pea), 918 nucleotides. RefSeq lists it as uncharacterized. The record is from RefSeq and is a predicted model, not a curated record. The transcript has 2 exons. NCBI's taxonomy places the organism in Eukaryota, Viridiplantae, Streptophyta, Magnoliopsida, Fabales, Fabaceae.